CCUAGUAACUGCGAGUGAAGCGGGAAAAGCUCAAAUUUGAAAUCUGGCAGUCUUUUUUUUCUUCUUUGGCUGUCCGAGUUGUAAUCUAGAGAAGUGCUUACCUGCACUGGACCAUGUAUAAGUCUCCUGGAAUGGAGCGUCGCAGAGGGUGAGAAUCCCGUCUUUGACAUGGACUGCCAGUGUGUUGUGGUGUGCUCUCAAAGAGUCGAGUUGUUUGGGAAUGCAGCUCUAAAUGGGUGGUAAACUCCAUCUAAAGCUAAAUAUUGGCGAGAGACCGAUAGUGAACAAGUACCGUGAGGGAAAGAUGAAAAGGACUUUGGAAAGAGAGUUAAACAGUAUGUGAAAUUGUUGAAAGGGAAACGCUUGAAGUCAGUUAUGUUGGCUAGGGAUCAACCUAGCUACUUUUGCUGGGUGAAUUUCCUAGUCUUACAGGCCAACAUCAGUCUUGACUGCUAGAAAAGAGCAGAGGGAAUGUGGCACCUUUGGGUGUGUUAUAGCCCUUUGUCAUAUGUGGCAGUCGGGACUGAGGGAUGCAGCAUGCCGCGAGGCUGGGUUUCUGACCACGUUCAUGCUUAGGAUGUUGGCUUUUAAUGGCUUCAAUCGACCCGUCUUGAAACACGGACCAAGGAGUCUAACAUGCCUGCGAGUGUUUGGGUGGGGAAAACCCUUGUGCACAAUGAAAGUGAAAGUUGAGAUCCCUGUCAUGGGGAGCAUCGACGCCCGGACUUGAGCUUUUAGCGACGGAUCCGCGGUAGAGCAUGCAUGUUGGGACCCGAAAGAUGGUGAACUAUGCCUGAAUAGGGCAAAGCCAGAGGAAACUCUGGUGGAGGCUCGUAGCGAUUCUGACGUGCAAAUCGAUCGUCAAAUUUGGGUAUA
This 876-nucleotide ribosomal RNA is filed under the name Amanita battarrae. Its description in RNAcentral is "eukaryotic LSU rRNA". It matches the Rfam family "Eukaryotic large subunit ribosomal RNA", at positions 79 to 919 of the family's 3401-position model. Lineage: Eukaryota; Fungi; Basidiomycota; Agaricomycetes; Agaricales; Amanitaceae. The record is from RNAcentral.